Molecule: transfer RNA, 76 nt
Filed under: Clostridia bacterium
Lineage: Bacteria; Bacillati; Bacillota; Clostridia
Description: tRNA-Lys
Rfam family: tRNA
About the family: Transfer RNA (tRNA) molecules are approximately 80 nucleotides in length.
Source: RNAcentral
UGCACCAUUAGCUCAGUCGGUAGAGCAACUGACUCUUAAUCAGUGGGUCCUGGGUUCGAGUCCCUGAUGGUGUAGC